RNAcentral lists this unclassified non-coding RNA (310 nucleotides) under uncultured Chaetomium. Its description in RNAcentral is "sequence contains ITS1". The stretch from base 1 to 105 matches the Rfam family "5.8S ribosomal RNA", at positions 50 to 154 of the family's 154-position model. Lineage: Eukaryota; Fungi; Ascomycota; Sordariomycetes; Sordariales; Chaetomiaceae. The record is from RNAcentral.
GAGAUGCGAUAAGUAAUGUGAAUUGCAGAAUUCAGUGAAUCAUCGAAUCUUUAAACGCACAUUGCGCCCGCCAGUAUUCUGGCGGGCAUGCAUGUUCGAGCGUCAUUUCAUCCAUCAAGCCCCCGGGCUUGUGUUGGGGACCCUGCGGCUGUCAUCAGGCCCUGAAAUGCAGUGGCGGGCUCGCUGUCCACUCCGAGCGUAGUAGCAUUACACCUCGCUCAGGGCGCGCGGCGGGCUCCGGCCGUUAAACGCGACCUUAACGCAUACCAAGGUUGAUCUCGGAUCAGGUAGGAAGACCCGCUGAACUUAA